Molecule: ribosomal RNA, 446 nt
Filed under: uncultured bacterium
Lineage: Bacteria
Description: partial 16S ribosomal RNA
Rfam family: Bacterial small subunit ribosomal RNA
Source: RNAcentral
CCUACGGGUGGCAGCAGUCGAGAAUCAUUCACAAUGGGGGAAACCCUGAUGGUGCGACGCCGCGUGGGGGAAUGAAGGUCUUCGGAUUGUAAACCCCUGUCAUGUGGGAGCAAAUUAAAAAGAUAGUACCACAAGAGGAAGAGACGGCUAACUCUGUGCCAGCAGCCGCGGUAAUACAGAGGUCUCAAGCGUUGUUCGGAAUCACUGGGCGUAAAUCGGGCGUAGGCUGUUUCGUAAGUCGUGUGUGAAAGGCGCGGGCUCAACCCGCGGACGGCACAUGAUACUGCGAGACUAGAGUAAUGGAGAGGGAAGCGGAAGUCUCGGUGUAGCAGUGAAAUGCGUAGAUAUCGAGAGGAACACUCGUGGCGAAGGCGGGUUCCUGGACAUUAACUGACGCUGAGGCACGAAGGCCAGGGGAGCGAAAGGGAUUAGAUACCCGAGUAGUC